This 892-nucleotide long non-coding RNA is filed under the name Musa acuminata (dwarf banana). Its description in RNAcentral is "long non-coding RNA (MACU_LNC009865)". The record is from RNAcentral. Lineage: Eukaryota; Viridiplantae; Streptophyta; Magnoliopsida; Zingiberales; Musaceae.
UGCCUGUCCACAUAAUUCUACUCACUGGGGGGAAAGUAAUAAGGUGGAAACCGAACUAGAGUGUUCUUUAUUUAAGCAAUGCUAGAAAGGGAAGCAAUACUUAGGGCAGAAGUAGAGGUCCUUAUAGUUAGUUUCGGUACUGGAUUCCGCAUAACCAAUUAGAACCGACAAGCUAACCUUAGCAACGGACCAAUUCUUUAGUCCCUUAUAUGAAGUCGCCGGAGGGAUAGUUUACAUAGGCGAAUUCCAGAACCAGAACUUGACUACUACUACCAGGUACCCUACUUUAAGGACAUAGGCGGAUGUUUUACUUGCAGAGGCAGAGGGGCUUCAAUGACUUAAGGGCUUGAAAUCAAUCUACUGAAGGAAUAUGCUUACCGCUUCAACUGUGUUGUAGUUGCUAAGUGAACUUGGACCUGCUCUAGAUCUUUCUCAGUACUUUCGAACAAAACUUGAUGAAUAGACAACUUUAGCACCCGAACGUAACUACUCGGUUCAGCCAAGCACCUUUCCUAUACACCUCACUUACUCAAGUAAACUAUACUUUUGAGCUAUAGCGCGACAAGAGGAGAAGGCCUAUUUUCGUCCUUUAACCACCAAGCCACCACUUGUUCUUAUCCUUGUUUGGAACAGAUCUGGUGGAUAUAUCGGAAUAGGGCUUUUAGGUUGAUUUCCCUUUCCUGCGCUUGCUGCCGACUUCACCUCUUAUUAAACUAGACCAGACCACUAUGCCUACAGAUGCAACUGGAACUGGGUAUUCUUUGGAUUCCAACUUGAUAGCUCAGCAGACUUCCUUAAGAUAUAAGUAAAGUCACCAACCCUUCCUGUCUUUAUGGCGUAAGUAAAGUAACCAAACCUUCCUGUCAAUUCUUCGGUACGGUGCGAGGAAAGG